Molecule: unclassified non-coding RNA, 21 nt
Filed under: Mus musculus (house mouse)
Lineage: Eukaryota; Metazoa; Chordata; Mammalia; Rodentia; Muridae
Description: oocyte_clustered_small_RNA7981
Source: RNAcentral
CUGGACCAGUGGGCCGCUCUU